UUGGCACACGUGGCGGUGCCUGCCAAGGUUGCCAGGACUCGGGGAUGCAAGGAUGGAAGAGGGAAAAAGGAUGCUUUUUCCUCUCUCCCUCAUGUAUCUUGGGUAUCAGCUAGGAUGAGAAGGGAACCAGGGAUCCCUGCUUCCCUCUUUCUAGAUGCGUGGCCAACCACUGGGACUCCUUUGAAAAGUGCCUUCUUUUCCCUUUCUCCUCCUUUGUUCAGUUAGGUAAUUUUGUUUCCAUACUGCAGGACACUCCCUUCAGAUGCAUCCUCCAAACUGGAAAGAGUUAAUUUCCUAAACCUUCAACUGGUUGGCUUAGGAUUGGGCUCAGGGGAAGGGAACCCAGAAACUCAACAUGCCGGCAAAAGGGCCAUCAAAUUCCAAACAGGCAACCAGAGCCUCUGAAGAUGGCCCCUUCUUCUGGGGAUCCUCACAUAGGCCUCGGAGGAAGCUCUGACUGCCGUUUCCCCAAAACAGCGCCCCCGUCUGCAGAAAGUGGUUAAGAUUGGUCUUAGUCCUUAUCCUUAAUCUAACGGGAGUUAGAUAUACUUCUUUAGACGGGGGAAUGAGACAGCCAGGUGGGAGGGGGUCCCUGGAGAAACUCCAACCAGCCUGUCUACUGAGGUGGAGCCUGGGAAGUUUGAGCCCUUUGCAGUAGGGAGGAGCUGGCCUUGCCUCUUCCUGUGUGGAACCUGGGAUUCGGACGUCGGGCGGGAAGUGCUCUAGCAGGGGACUCUGGACUUGCGGAGGACCCCUGUUCCCCCCCUCAUUUUUCCCUGUUUCACCCAAUAAAACCCUGCUUUACUCACCCUUUAAA
Molecule: long non-coding RNA, 817 nt
Organism: Homo sapiens (human)
Lineage: Eukaryota; Metazoa; Chordata; Mammalia; Primates; Hominidae
Exons: 2
Source: RefSeq, a predicted model, not a curated record